CUGGGUCGAUAAAGACCCGAAUAUGUAAGAAUGAUUGGCGAAACAGUCAUGCAUUUAAGGGUUAAAUGUACUGGCGAAGAGAUAAACAUGGCGGACUGUGUACAGCUCACUCAGGGGAGGAGCUAAGAUAAUAGGGCAGAUUUCGUCGCCAGUCAUGGGCGGGGCCUGUUUCAAUGUGAUGUCACAUUGGAGUACAUUCCUGGACAGCUCGUUUUGAGACACUGUUUCAGAUUUAUGGGGAACAUAACACAGUGAAUGGAUUUUUACCACAAUAGGGUGGUUGUAUACACACACUGUGGACACAUAAAUAUGUUCAAAAACAAUAUAAAAGUGAAUUUUGCAUAAUAGGUCCCCUUUAAAUUGGGCACUGUGUUUUAGAACGUCGUGUCAUGCGCGAGAUGCUGCGAAAAACACAAGUGCAGUGGUCAAAGACAUCAAUCUAAAGUGUGCUUAAAUAGAAAAAAAAUGGAAAAUGCAAAAACAUGUUCUGUGUGAAUGAUACCAUACGUUUAUGGUAUUUUUUGUCAUUUUAGAGUUUGACAGCUCUAGUCCAUAUUUAUUGUAUUAAAAAGAGUGAAAAUGAUGUUCUUCAAAAAAUCACUUUUUGUAUAAACCACAACUCAGAAUUAAUUAAUUGAAGUAAAUAAUGGCAGAAUUUAAAUUUUUGGUUGCACUACCCCUUUGAGUUUCUUCUGAACUAUCCAACAAAACAAAGCUGAAUUAAAUGAGAUAUAAUUAGGGAAUAGUAAUUCCAUUCGUGCUGCUUAGUUAGUGACUUGCAUUAAGGAGAAAGAGCUGAAAAAAUAUGUAAUGAUAUUCCUCCCUAGUUGCUUGUUUGUGUUUAUGUCUAGGAGCCGAGCAAAGCAGCAGGACGAUAAGGGAGAAAAACGACAGCGCACACUGUGGCGUCAGGAGCACAGAGACGUCUAUAAACUAAAAGAAGCACUGCACUGUCGGAAUAUGACAGCCAAUCCAUCAGGGAAAUGGAAGCUCUGUCUACUGCACCAAGGAGAGAGUGGCCAGAACUUUUAUAAAUAGUCACGCAUUUUUAAGGGAAAUUGAAAGUUGUCAGACAUAUGCUUUCCAGUCUUUCUGUUGAUCAUCCAAGUGGCCGCGUUGGCUGAAUAUGAUUGAAACAUCAAAGCAUACAAAGUAGGAAGGUUGAAGGCUACAUGGGACAUAGGCUAGUGCAUGGAAGGACACGUAGGAUGAUUUUAUUUGUGGCCUUCUGUCUUAGAGCAGGGUUUUCCAAACGGGAGUUGAUGAAUAGUUAAUAAUUAAUUAAAUCGAAUGUAACAUUAAAACUAACAAAUGGGGCUGCACAAUUAAUCUAAAUUAAACUGAAAAUGCUAUAUAUCUUAUCAAAUUGUUGUACUAGUGAAGAGCGACACUGUGUUCAUUUACAUGCAUGCAGCUUAUAAUGGAGCAGCUAUUACUUUGUGUUCCCUUACAAAAGUUUUGCAUUCAAGAAACAUUGUGUUCCCUCGCAAAAGUUUUGUGUUCCCCGAGAAACUUUGCGUGCGCUCGCAAAGAACUCAAAAGUUUUGCAAGUGAACACAAACAUUUUGAAAGUUUUGAAAGUUUAUCAUGGGAAUGCAAAACAUUAAGACACAAUUUUUCUCAAUCUCAUUUUUUUACGAGUUUAACAUGCAUUUGGGAAUUAAACGUGCGCUAGGUUUACCUUAUUUGCAUUCACAUAAUAUUUGCAUAAUUUCAGAUUUUUUUUUUGGACAGAAAAACACUUACUAUAUAUAUUGUGUGUUUACUUGCCAUGCGACUAUUAACAGACAACAGAGAACCAUGAACCAUGUCAUUAAAUUAUUAAAAUAUUAACCUUACACCGUGUCCUAACCAGACGCAAUGUGAUGCCGCGACACGCAAUAAAAGGUAUAAUUUCCAUGUUAAUCGGAGUUUUUGUCCUAACUAGUCGCAAAGGCGAUACGCGACGAUUCUAUAGUAACGGUUUCUAUUUUUCUGAGACGUCGCGGCUGGAAAAACACUUGUAUGAUAAUGAUAAUCCCACGUGCUGUUUAUGUGCUUUAUUUAAUGUUAAAAGCGUCUAAUGUGAGUUUGAAUAUCAUUUUGUGUGUCUGUUAUUGCCGUACUGAAAGCAACAAUGGACAAUUCACCUCAGAUCUUCGAAACAAAUAAAAGGAAACAUGAACGUUCAAAUUGUCAACUCAUUGUGAACAGACAAAUGUAUUCUUCAACAAAGAUUGUUUCAGUAACUCAGUAUGUAUUUUUUAAUAAUGUUAAAAUGUAAUAUUUAUGAAUUUGAUUAUGUACUUUCGUUGAGAGUGCCGGGAAUUGGCCGAGAGAGCCCGCCCACGCGCUCUUCUGAUUGGAUAUUUUAUUGACUUUAUCGCAUCUCAUAGUCGUGUUGCGACUCUGGUGUGGACAGACAAAUUGUUUGUCGCUGGAAUCUUAUUGCAUCGCGUCUAGUUAGAACACGGUGUUACACCGUGUCUACACCGGACGCGACAGUUGUCGUGUCACGCCGCAGCAGCUUGGCUGUCUACACUUGACGCGACAAUGCGGAAUGUGGAAGUCUUUUUUUGUUUAUAACGUUGUUUUUUUUUUGUUUUUUUACAAUUCAGCCAGGAAGUGAGGACAACCAGGCACAAUAUGGUCCCGGGAUACAGCUGGUCAAGAUAAAAUAGAAUCAGGGUCUAGACAUAGUCAAGAAAAGGCGCCAAAGGAGAUGUUUACCAGACAGACAGUAUGAGCUGCUCUCUUUCAUACAGUGAAAGGACCAUGAUAAAAGUUCCUUAUGAUUCAUACACCAUAUUCCAAGUCUUCUGAAGCCACACGGUAGCUCCGUGCGAGAAACAAAGGCCACACGCUCCAGUGAAAGAGUUCGCGAGGAAAAGCAAUGGGCACCUCAGCAAAGAUAAACGAUGGCCAACGUGCUGACAGAUAUCUGCAGCAGAACAGUUUCUCAAGAUCUCCGUGCGACUCCUCUGUGGGUUUCUUCAUUUACAGCCUCUCAGCCCAUCACUGAUUUUGUCACUUUAUUAGAUACUGAAUAGUCCUGAUGUAAACUUAAAACAGUGAUUAAAGUGUCUUUUAUAAUAAAGAUACUUCAUAUUUUAAUUCAUUGUUUGUAAUCUGAUAUUUAGUCAAUCUGAACUUUACCAUUUCUCGAGUUUUAAGGUCCCAGACCGGAAUUCAGUAUGUUCAGUAUAUAUUAUGAGAUAUUAUUUGAAUUUAAAACAACUUUUUUUCUAUUUUAAUAUAUUUUAAAGGGGACAUAUCAUGAAAAUCUGACCUUUUCCAUGUUUAAGUGCUUUAAUCGGGUCCCCGGUGCAUCUACCAACCUAGAAAACUUGAAAAAGGACAACCAGUAACUUUAGGUAACUAAAGUAAGCCUUUCUGUGCAAGCAUGUGAAACAAAGGAGCCACACAGAACGAUUUUGCUCCCCUAGUGACGUAGGAAGGGGAUCUUAUUGUAAUAUUACCGCCCCAUAAUCUGCUCGUUUCCACCCACAGUGCCGCCAUUUUGUUUUCGCAAGCGACAACGGUGUACCGGUUUCCACUUCUUCAGAGAAGGAAGAGUUGUUGUAGUAGAGUGUUGUUGCCAUGCCAUCAUUUUACGCCGGACUGCUUCCCAAAC
Molecule: long non-coding RNA, 3613 nt
Organism: Megalobrama amblycephala (Wuchang bream)
Lineage: Eukaryota; Metazoa; Chordata; Actinopteri; Cypriniformes; Xenocyprididae
Exons: 4
Source: RefSeq, a predicted model, not a curated record